GAUGAAGAACGUAGCGAAAUGCGAUAAGUAAUGUGAAUUGCAGAAUUCAGUGAAUCAUCGAAUAUUUGAACGCUCAUUGCGGCCGCCAGUAUUCUGGCGGGCAUGCCUGUUCGAGCGUCAUUUCAACCCUCAAGCCCCCGGGCUUGGUGUUGGGGAUCGGCGUGCCCUCGCGGCGCGCCGUCCCCUAAAUCUAGUGGCGGUCUCGCUGUAGCUUCCUCUGCGUAGUAGCAACACUGGCACUGGAUCGCAGCGCGGCCACGCCGUUAAACCCCCCACUUCUGAAAGUUUGACCUCGGAUCAGGUAGGAAUACCCGCUGAACUUAAGCAUAUCAAUAAGCGGAGGA
This 344-nucleotide unclassified non-coding RNA is filed under the name soil metagenome. Its description in RNAcentral is "partial contains 5.8S ribosomal RNA, internal transcribed spacer 2, and large subunit ribosomal RNA". The stretch from base 1 to 120 matches the Rfam family "5.8S ribosomal RNA", at positions 35 to 154 of the family's 154-position model. The record is from RNAcentral.